This 465-nucleotide ribosomal RNA is filed under the name uncultured bacterium. RNAcentral's name for it is "partial 16S ribosomal RNA". It matches the Rfam family "Bacterial small subunit ribosomal RNA", at positions 338 to 795 of the family's 1533-position model. The record is from RNAcentral.
CCUACGGGAGGCAGCAGUAGGGAAUCUUCCACAAUGGGCGAAAGCCUGAUGGAGCAACGCCGCGUGGGUGAAGAAGGUCUUCGGAUCGUAAAACCCUGUUGUUAGAGAAGAAAGUGCGUGAGAGUAACUGUUCACGUUUCGACGGUAUCUAACCAGAAAGCCACGGCUAACUACGUGCCAGCAGCCGCGGUAAUACGUAGGUGGCAAGCGUUAUCCGGAUUUAUUGGGCGUAAAGGGAACGCAGGCGGUCUUUUAAGUCUGAUGUGAAAGGCUUCGGCUUAACCGGAGUAGUGCAUUGGAGACUGGGAGACUUGAGUGCAGAAGAGGAGAGUGGAACUCCAUGGGUAGCGGUGAAAUGCGUAGAUAUAUGGAAGAACACCAGUGGCGAAAGCGGCUCUCUGGUCUGUAACUGACGCUGAGGUUCGAAAGCGUGGGUAGCAAACAGGAUUAGAUACCCCUGUAGUC